Molecule: long non-coding RNA, 315 nt
Organism: Alosa sapidissima (American shad)
Lineage: Eukaryota; Metazoa; Chordata; Actinopteri; Clupeiformes; Clupeidae
Exons: 3
Source: RefSeq, a predicted model, not a curated record
UUGUCUGGCACUGUCGUAUGUGUGAUGGUAUGAAACUAAUUUUCUUCCUGCUAAUCUUAUUUCAGAUCAACACGGAAUUUCAAAAGAAUCACAAUUGUCCCAUUUCAAUCCAAGUUCCUGUCUCCAAGCAAUGAUUAAGCAAAUUACUGAUUGUGAUAUAGAUGCUGGCCGAGUGUCUCCUGAAGGGACUCUGUAUCUACACGGGGAACGAUCCUGAAAACUUUGUGCAGGAAUAUGUGGGCAUGGAUGAAGUUGAUGUCAUUGAAGACAACUGUUGGGGUUUAUGUCCUGAAAGAACAUGAGUCAAGUGAACCA